GAAUUCACUAGGGAUUCAGGCCUAACACAUGCAAGUCGAACGCUUCUUACUUAUCGAACUUCGGUUCACCAAGUAAGAGGAGUGGCGAACAAAUGAGUAACACGUGGGUAACCUGCCCAUCAGAGGGGGAUAACACUUGGAAACAGGUGCUAAUACCGCAUAAUUCAGCUUACCGCAUGGUAGAGUGAUGAAAGGCGCUUUUGCGUCACUGAUGGAUGGACCCGCGGUGCAUUAGCUAGUUGGUAGGGUAAUGGCCUACCAAGGCAACGAUGCAUAGCCGACCUGAGAGGGUGAUCGGCCACACUGGGUUUGAGGGACGGCCCAGACUCCUACGGGAGGCAGCAGUAGGGAAUCUUCGGCAAUGGA
RNAcentral lists this ribosomal RNA (366 nucleotides) under uncultured bacterium. Its description in RNAcentral is "bacterial SSU rRNA". It matches the Rfam family "Bacterial small subunit ribosomal RNA", at positions 43 to 375 of the family's 1533-position model. The record is from RNAcentral.